RNAcentral lists this ribosomal RNA (262 nucleotides) under uncultured bacterium. RNAcentral's name for it is "partial 16S ribosomal RNA". It matches the Rfam family "Bacterial small subunit ribosomal RNA", at positions 793 to 1055 of the family's 1533-position model. The record is from RNAcentral.
GUCCACGCCGUAAACGUUGGGCGCUAGGUGUGGGAUCCUUCCACGGAUUCCGUGCCGCAGCUAACGCAUUAAGCGCCCCGCCUGGGGAGUACGGCCGCAAGGCUAAAAACUCAAAGGAAUUGACGGGGGCCCGCACAAGCGGCGGAGCAUGUUGCUUAAUUCGACGCAACGCGAAGAACCUUACCAAGGUUUGACAUGCAGGGAAAAGCCGUAGAGAUACGGUGUCCGUAAGGGUCCUGCACAGGUGGUGCAUGGCUGUCGU